This 253-nucleotide ribosomal RNA is filed under the name uncultured bacterium. Its description in RNAcentral is "partial 16S ribosomal RNA". It matches the Rfam family "Bacterial small subunit ribosomal RNA", at positions 524 to 776 of the family's 1533-position model. The record is from RNAcentral.
UACGGGGGGAGCAAGCGUUGUUCGGAUUUACUGGGCGUAAAGGGCGCGUAGGCGGCGUGACAAGUCACUUGUGAAAUCUCCGGGCUUAACUCGGAACGGUCAAGUGAUACUGUCGUGCUAGAGUACAGAAGGGGCAACUGGAAUUCUCGGUGUAGCGGUGAAAUGCGUAGAUAUCGAGAGGAACACCUGCGGCGAAGGCAGGUUGCUGGGCUGAUACUGACGCUGAGGCGCGAAAGCCAGGGGAGCGAACGGG